ACUAAAUAGGCUUUUGAGCCUCACAAGACUUUGAGAUUUUAUGGAUAUGAAACCUGCUAUCAUUUAGCAUCCUGCCUCUGGGAAUAGGACAUACCUCUUCCCCUUCUGCCAUGAUUAUAAGUUUCCUGAGUCCUUCCCAGCCAUGCAGAACUACAUGGAUUCUCACUAUGACACCCAGGCUGGAGUGCAGUGGCACAAUCAUAGCUGACUACAGCCUCGAAUUUCUGGGCUCAAGCAAGGCUUUCAUCUCAACCUCCCCAGGAGCUGGGAUUACAGAUGGUGUCAGAAGCGGGGUUCAAAGUAGAGCUUUAAUGACCCCCAGAAGUGCUGAGUGAACAAGCAAGGUACCUGCAAGGACCCACUUGUGUCCUUUGAUCUCUCAGAGCAGUGGAUCUGCUUGCUUCCCCUUUGCCUUCUGCCAUGAUUGUAAGUUUCCUGAGGCCUCCUACAUCAUGCCUCCUGUAUAGCCUGCAGAACUUAUUUACACACAGAUGCUCCAUGAUGGGUCACAUCCAAACUUAUCAUAAAGUCAAAAAAUUGUAAGUCAGACUAUCACAAGUCAGAAACCAUCUGUAUGUACAUUCUUGUGUCUAGUCACUUGUGUGGGAAUGAAGGAGGGAGGAGGGAAGAAGGAGGAGAGGUGUAUCUGGUGUAGAUAGUUUAAAUUCCAGAUUUCCCCUCAAGAGGAAAUUUUGGUCUUCAAAUUAUAAUUCUGUGGUUUUCCUGUUGUCUGCUGACAAGUUUUUAACUAAUGUAGAAUCAAGGGAUUUUACGCUACAGAAAGUUUAUUCCUAAGAUGAGUGUCUCGAUCUAAUCUUAUUUCAUAGUUGUUACAUCUGUGUAUGAAAUGUAUCAUUAUUUAUGUAUGUUUUCAACUCAUAUUUAUUCUUAAAUAUAUUUAGCCUUAUCCCAAACAAUAAUAAA
Molecule: long non-coding RNA, 924 nt
Organism: Homo sapiens (human)
Lineage: Eukaryota; Metazoa; Chordata; Mammalia; Primates; Hominidae
Source: Ensembl